UGAAUGAAAAACUUUUGAUAACUAAAAAAUAAUUCAUAUUUUUGAAACAAAACUUUAGUAAAUAUAAUCACAAAUUCAGUCGUUGAUUUAGACUUCCACUAAAAAAUAUGUGGCACCUUAUUAGUGAAGAAGACCCUUUUCCGCUUGUUCUGAGUCUUUGGGUGAACCCAUGAAUUACAAUCAAGAUUAACGGGUCCAGCAGGAAACCCAUCAAUGGUUAUAUUCUUGAUGAACAUCUCCUUGUGGUGCUCAUUUUCGACGUAAAUGGCACCCACUUGCCCAAAACCAGCUGGAACGUCCAACUCUGCUUCGUACCGGAUUUCGGCUUCAUGUUCGUCUUUUCGGUGAGCGAAUCCUUUAAUCAUCGGCUUCUCCAAUCCCGUCUGGGAAUCUAGCUGGGCACUAACAAGCUCCAGGAGGAGAGUUUUGCCAAGCAAGUCAGUAAUAUCAUCUAGUCCUUGCUGAAUCCCAAUGUUGGAAAGUAACCCACCAACAGUUCGGCUCACAGUAACUAUAGCCUGCACUUUGAUAGACUUCUGUUGCUCUGUAAUGCUUGCUAUGGCUUUGAUAUUUCCAGGUUUAUAGCCAACUGAUCGGAUUUUUCUCAGAGUUUUAGUAGAGGAGGACUUGGAAAUGACAGGAAGAUGGGCUUGGCCAUUUCCAAGGAUGAAUGGGUUGGGCAACAGGAAGAGGGUUCUUGAGGAAUGAGAGUGGUGAAUCUGUGGUUUCAACAUUGAUUGUUUUGGGGUUGAAGGAGCAGAUAUAUUCUGGCGGUAAUUAGUGAAGAAGCUAAGACUUGCUGGAUGAGAGUUAUGGUUAUGGUGGUAUAUGUAGGCAUAGGACUUAGGGAAGGGGGAGAGAAAGA
This 865-nucleotide unclassified non-coding RNA is filed under the name Hevea brasiliensis (rubber tree). Lineage: Eukaryota; Viridiplantae; Streptophyta; Magnoliopsida; Malpighiales; Euphorbiaceae. The record is from RNAcentral.